Dermacentor silvarum is the source of this 184-nucleotide small nuclear RNA. RefSeq annotates it as U2 spliceosomal RNA. The record is from RefSeq and is a predicted model, not a curated record. NCBI's taxonomy places the organism in Eukaryota, Metazoa, Arthropoda, Arachnida, Ixodida, Ixodidae. The transcript has a single exon.
AUGGCCGACGCGGGUCAAAGUGUAGUAUCUCUUCUUAUCAUCUUAAUAUCUGAUACGGGUUGUGUUUGGACCCAAAAUGUUAAACUUAUUUUUGCAGGCUGGUAGAGUGCUUGAAGCCUGAUUCACCUCCACCGCGGGUCGGCUCGGUAUUGCACUAUAUAUGUCCGGGAUCAGCCCACGGGGA